AUUAUCCUACGGGGCGCAGCAGUGGGGAAUAUUGCACAAUGGGGGAAACCCUGAUGCAGCGACGCCGCGUGAGUGAAGAAGUAUCUCGGUAUGUAAAGCUCUAUCAGCAGGAAAGAUAAUGACGGUACCUGACUAAGAAGCCCCGGCUAACUACGUGCCAGCAGCCGCGGUAAUACGUAGGGGGCAAGCGUUAUCCGGAUUUACUGGGUGUAAAGGGAGCGUAGGUGGCAUGGCAAGCCAGAAGUGAAAACCCGGGGCUUAACCCCGCGGAUUGCUUUUGGAACUGUCAGGCUGGAGUGCAGGAG
This 305-nucleotide ribosomal RNA is filed under the name uncultured bacterium. RNAcentral's name for it is "bacterial SSU rRNA". It matches the Rfam family "Bacterial small subunit ribosomal RNA", at positions 333 to 654 of the family's 1533-position model. The record is from RNAcentral.